CGGCGGAGUCGCUGGCUGCGGAUCGCCUGCUUUUCCUGCUGCUCCAUGCGGAAGAACGAGUCGAUCCGGAGCUGAGUCUAAACCAAAACAGAGACAGAUGAGGUGUAAGUGAUGCAAGACUACAAGAGCGGAUCCAACUGCUGAAGGACUGCAUCUGCACUUCCUGGCUAUCUGGCGGAAGCUGUACCCUUCCUGACUGAGAAUCUGUGUCUUCAGAGGUUAGGAGAGUCUCGCAGUUACCUGCUGGGUGUUGAGCUGCUUGAUGACAGGCUGAAGAGUCUCCUCUGUUUUCCGGCUGCUCCAGCCAAAGCGACUCAGACAGAACGUAAAAUGCUGGUUAAAGAAACUUCAUACGUUCAUGAAGACACAGACAACCCCAGACGCACAGUGCAAGGAUAUUCUUUGAUCAUGUCGAGCUGUGGGCGUCCCCAGCUGAAGGAGCU
Amphiprion ocellaris (clown anemonefish) is the source of this 443-nucleotide long non-coding RNA. RefSeq lists it as uncharacterized. The transcript has 3 exons. NCBI's taxonomy places the organism in Eukaryota, Metazoa, Chordata, Actinopteri, Pomacentridae. The record is from RefSeq and is a predicted model, not a curated record.